GGGGAUAUAGCUCAGCUGGUAGAGCGCACGGUUCGCAAUCGUGAGGUCAGGGGUUCGAUCCCCCUUAUCUCCA
Molecule: transfer RNA, 73 nt
Filed under: Cyanobacteria bacterium REEB67
Lineage: Bacteria; Bacillati; Cyanobacteriota
Description: tRNA-Ala
Rfam family: tRNA
About the family: Transfer RNA (tRNA) molecules are approximately 80 nucleotides in length. Their secondary structure includes four short double-helical elements and three loops (D, anti-codon, and T loops).
Source: RNAcentral